UGAGUCUACUAUGUCUAUGUCUAUGAUCAUACGGCAAAUAUAGCAUCGCGUUUUGCUUUGCAUCCGGAGUGCCAAACAUACCACUCCGUUAUAGUGUAAACACAAUGCUGAGAAACAUAGUGAAGUUUUAACAAAAUUGAUUUGUAUUCAGAAUGGCAAAUGUAGUGGUCCGUAGUUAGUACGCUACGAAAAACCACGCCGUUAUAGUGUAAUCACAAUAUAGUCUCAACACUAGAAACGUAGUAAAUUUUUAACGGAGUUGUUAACCGUAGCGCCAUAGUGUAAACGCGCCGGGCCUUAAUUAAUAACAAUAUAUUUAUACGUCGAUUGUCGGGAGAAAUAAAUUUGACUCGACACAGGAGCGACGUAUAAACAGGGCCGUUAGCCAUGGAUAGCUGUUCUUUUAACUAUCCAUGGUACAGUCACGAUUUACGAUGGAUACAGGGCCUUUUUUAAGGAUUUUCCCGUGGGGGGGCAUUUUUUGAAAAGGGACCUUUCUGUAAGAUGACAUAUUACAGGGAGAUAGCAAUAGCUGAAGGCCACGUGUGUGACCAACACACCAUGCACGCAUGAAUGGGG
Paramuricea clavata is the source of this 579-nucleotide non-coding RNA. Lineage: Eukaryota; Metazoa; Cnidaria; Anthozoa; Malacalcyonacea; Plexauridae. The record is from the annotation of a GenBank genome assembly.